RNAcentral lists this transfer RNA (74 nucleotides) under Marmota monax (woodchuck). RNAcentral's name for it is "tRNA.Val". Lineage: Eukaryota; Metazoa; Chordata; Mammalia; Rodentia; Sciuridae. The record is from RNAcentral.
UUAGGUGUGAGGCUCAGUGGUAGGGUGCAUGCUUAACAUGCACAAAGUCUUGAGUUCCAUUCCCAGCACCAAAA